RNAcentral lists this long non-coding RNA (877 nucleotides) under Rattus norvegicus (Norway rat). RNAcentral's name for it is "long non-coding RNA NONRATT004430". Lineage: Eukaryota; Metazoa; Chordata; Mammalia; Rodentia; Muridae. The record is from RNAcentral.
GACCUCUUGAGCCAGUGGGAGAUCUUUCCUCCCCAGAGCUGGAAGGUGGCUCUGGCAGCUGCCAUGGUGAGUGGAGUGGCAGUAGUCCUGGCCAUGACACCCUUUGAUGUGGCCAGCACAAGGCUUUAUAACCAACCCACUGAUACUCGAGGCAAGGUAAGGAAGUACUGUAGGGUUCAGGCUGACAAGAAAAGCUGGGGGUGGAGAAGCAGAUCCUCAAAUGCUGCCUAGAAAGGCGUCUGACCCUGGUGGGCUCUGACAUGCUCCUCCUGUGCUCUCCCUUCCUCUCCGACAUGCUCCAGGGCCUCAUGUACCGGGGGAUCUUGGACGCUCUGCUGCAGACAGCUCGGACAGAGGGCCUUUUUGGCAUGUACAAGGGUAUAGGUGCUUCCUAUUUUCGCCUCGGCCCCCACACUAUCCUCUCCCUCUUCUUCUGGGAUCAGCUGCGUUCCUUUUACAGCACAUAUGCUAAAUAGUGCUCACUCUCUUGUACUCCAAAUCAACACUCUUUGGGCACCUCUGCCUCCACAGCUUCCUGUAUCUCAGUGACUGCUGACCGAUCUGACUUUUCAAUGCACUUAAGGGGGACAGCCACGUCCACUCCUCUGUUCUCCUAGGGUUGAGCCACUAGAUGGGUCUUGCUUUAAAUUUCCCCACAAGUCCCCCUGAAAUAUUUCACACCCAUCUCAGGGUUGAAUCAGUCACUCCAAAGUGUAUUUCUACUGCCAUUCAUGGGUGCCCUCCCCCCGACUCCCCGUUCCUGUGCACAGCUUUAAACUCCCCCUUCCAAGACCAAAGGGAACUGGGGAGACCAGGUGUCCUCUUAGAUUCGAAGCCACAGAAAUUAUAUUCUUCAUAAAGCAAGUUUAUUUCUGCC